AGAUUGAACGCUGGCGGCAGGCCUAACACAUGCAAGUCGAGCGGCAGCGGGGAGUAGUUUACUACUUUGCCGGCGAGCGGCGGACGGGUGAGUAAUGUCUGGGAAACUGCCUGAUGGAGGGGGAUAACUACUGGAAACGGUAGCUAAUACCGCAUAACGUCUUCGGACCAAAGUGGGGGACCUUCGGGCCUCACGCCAUCGGAUGUGCCCAGAUGGGAUUAGCUAGUAGGUGGGGUAAUGGCUCACCUAGGCGACGAUCCCUAGCUGGUCUGAGAGGAUGACCAGCCACACUGGAACUGAGACACGGUCCAGACUCCUACGGGAGGCAGCAGUGGGGAAUAUUGCACAAUGGGCGCAAGCCUGAUGCAGCCAUGCCGCGUGUGUGAAGAAGGCCUUCGGGUUGUAAAGCACUUUCAGCGAGGAGGAAGGCCAAUAACUUAAUACGUUGUUGGAUUGACGUUACUCGCAGAAGAAGCACCGGCUAACUCCGUGCCAGCAGCCGCGGUAAUACGGAGGGUGCAAGCGUUAAUCG
This 532-nucleotide ribosomal RNA is filed under the name Yersinia enterocolitica (type O:3) str. YE12/03. It matches the Rfam family "Bacterial small subunit ribosomal RNA", at positions 26 to 547 of the family's 1533-position model. Lineage: Bacteria; Pseudomonadati; Pseudomonadota; Gammaproteobacteria; Enterobacterales; Yersiniaceae. The record is from RNAcentral.